Molecule: ribosomal RNA, 711 nt
Filed under: Triticum aestivum (bread wheat)
Lineage: Eukaryota; Viridiplantae; Streptophyta; Magnoliopsida; Poales; Poaceae
Description: partial small subunit ribosomal RNA
Source: RNAcentral
AUGGCGAUGCCGAAGCACGACGCGGACGGCGCAGUAGUCGACCGCCGGCUCGACGCGACCACGAUAUGCUUCUCCGAGGAGCCCGCGCCGGCAGCCUCCGACGGCGGCAGCCACCGGUUCGCCCUGCGUGUGACGUGCAGCGUGACGCGGUCCCUGGAGUUCCGCAGGAGCGGCCGGCACCCGAAGGUGGUGCUGCAGAAGUACACCAAGGCCGGCUGCGACUCCGCCAUAACGUUCCCCGUCGGCGACCUGUCCGUGCUACAGAGCGACGGCGCCUGCCAGGGGGCCCUCCGCGGGAUGCUGGCGGAGCUGCGUCAGCUCCGGGAGCUCCACCUCGACGAGGACGAGUGGGACGCCGUCGUGCCCGCGGACAUCGUGCCGCAGAUCGUCCGCGUGGCGCGCGGCGAGGACGCCAAGGACGGCUUCACUUUCUGCUUCGCGAUGAAUGCGCACCGGCGGAUCAUACACGGCGAGGAGGCCCUGCUGAUGGCGUGCAAAGAGAGGGAGCUGGACCUGGACGGCGCCGGGACGACGGACGACUGCGCGAUCUGCCUGGAUGGCCUGGAGGGAGAGCCCGCCGUGGAGCUGCCGGCUUGCCCGCACGCGUUCCACCGCCGGUGCAUUUCCACGUGGUUCUCCAAGAAGACGACGUGCCCCAUAUGCCGGGAUGACGUUAGGCUCUGUGCCCUGCGGAAGUUUUUGAACCUGUAG